GACGAACGCUGGAGGCGAGCUUAACACAUGCAAGUCGAACGAUGAAAUGGAGCUUGCCCCAUGGAUUAGUGGCGAACGGGUGAGUAACACGUGAAUAACCUGCCCUUAAUUUUGGAAUAACCCAGGGAAACCUGGGCUAAUACCGGAUAAGUAAACCUGUGGCAUCACAUGGUUGUGGAAAGUUUUGCGAAUAAGGAUGGAUUCGCGGCCUAUCAGCUUGUUGGUGGGGUAAUGGCUCACCAAGGCGACGACGGGUAGCCGGCCUGAGAGGGUGAACGGCCAGACUGGGACUGAGACACGGCCCAGACUCCUACGGGAGGCAGCAGUGGGGAAUAUUGCGCGAUGGACGAAAGUCUGACGCAGCGACGCCUCGUGAGGGACGAAGGUCUUCGGAUUGUAAACCUCUUUCAGCAGGGACGAAGCGAAAGUGACGGUACCUGCAGAAGAAGCACCGGCUAACUAUGUGCCAGCCGCCGCAGUAA
RNAcentral lists this ribosomal RNA (482 nucleotides) under uncultured bacterium. Its description in RNAcentral is "partial 16S ribosomal RNA". It matches the Rfam family "Bacterial small subunit ribosomal RNA", at positions 28 to 523 of the family's 1533-position model. The record is from RNAcentral.